CUUUAAAAAGAGGAGCAGCCCCAGUUUGCCCUGUUCCAACAUCAUGAAUACACACAAAAGCUUUCCACUUUGAAUGUGUGGAGAGGGCUGGAGAUAGAGGGAGAAAUGGAGUCGAGGACGAGGGGAUGAACCAAGGGCCCAAAUGGCGACCAUUGAUGGGUGAAGGCCACAAGGAUUUGUGAUGAGAUGAGGAAUCCAGGAAAUGAGCUUGGUUUGUGAAAAGCGCACACGCAGCUGAAAUUGAUCGUCAACCAUCUCCUGCUCACAACAGUGUGGGCAGAGGGAGAGCAAGGUCACAGCCAAGGACUUGCCACAAUCAGUGAUGGGCUGCCGAGGGGGGGCUUAUGUGUCACGCCACAGCUGCUACGCUACGUACUCUGAGUCACAAGCACAUAUUUACUGCUGCAAAACAUCACCUUAAUUACCUUAAUGCCAGACUGUCUCUUCCCGUCUGGAUGAAUUCUGCUCUGGAUGCCUUAAUCUGAGCCUAAUCUCCAUCAUCCUCACAUACUGUUUUGGGAGUAAAAUCAUAGCUUUGCCUUUCUUAUCUGUUUUUAUUUCCUGUCAGGUUUAAGUGUUUUAUGGUUCAGCAGUUCAGAGGAAGGAAGGUUUGUCUGGUGAUAGUCAACAUGGCUGGGUGGGCGGCUGUUGCGCUGUGUGCUUGUCAUGCUGAACCAAGCCCGAAGCAGGUGAAGGGAUGAUUUCAUGUCUGUGCUAUCUAGAAGGACCGUCUCAGCUGCCAAUGCAAAGAUAAGCAAGGAGGAGGCAGCUGCUGCUGCUGGGCAGCUGUUUGACUGUUUCUAAAGCAGGAGUUGCAGGCAGCUCAACAGGCUGCUUGUGCAUCAUUCCAGCCUGACAAACAAGUUGAGCAAAAAUCUUAAGCAAGUGCAUUGUUUUCCAUCUAUAGAAGCCAUAUAGUGUCUGUGCUAGGUGCACAUAUUUACUUAGUAAAAAGUUUUUUUUGUAUUGUGUAGGAAUAACAGUUAAACACAGUGCUGGGCACUAUACUGGAUGAACCAGAAUACCAGUUUUAAUUUCCCACAUAAUAUGGAUUUCUCAUAUACCGCUACCAGUGGACACAAUUGCUGUUCAAUAGCAAGUCAUAUUGUUUUUGCUGGUUGGUUAAGUCAGUUUAUAGUGUUUAUACAUGAAAUUCAUGAUAUUUUGUUUUGAAAGGGAAGCAAUGUUAAAGUU
Long non-coding RNA from Dicentrarchus labrax (European seabass), 1194 nucleotides. RefSeq lists it as uncharacterized. The transcript has 3 exons. The record is from RefSeq and is a predicted model, not a curated record. NCBI's taxonomy places the organism in Eukaryota, Metazoa, Chordata, Actinopteri, Moronidae.